AGGUGGAGCUAUAGCUACAGUUAUGGCUGGUCAUGAAUACUGGGGCAUACCAGGAUGGCGCUUUUCCUUCAUCGUGAUGGCAACUUUGAGUUGUUUCAUAGGAUUUCUUGUCUUCUCUUUUGUCGUUGACCCAAGGAAGAAAAGCAGUGGCCAGCAUGAUAUUUCAAAACAGUCUGACAGGGAUGAAUUGAUAGAGAAAGGACACUCAAAUAUCAAUACAGUGUCAAUUUGGAUGGAGUCCUGGACAGCCAUGAGAACUGUCAUCAAACUCCAAACGUUUCAGUUCAUUGUUUUGCAGGGUCUUGUAGGAUCCCUACCUUGGACAGCCAUUGUUUUCUUUACAUUAUGGUUUGAAUUAAUCGGUUUUGAUCAUAAUAGUGCAGCCACACUUGUCGGUCUAUUUGCUGCUGGAUGCGCAUUAGGAUCCUUCUUUGGUGGAGUAGUUGCAGACAAAAUGUCUCGAAUAUACCCCCAUACAGGACGUGUCAUGUGUGCUCAAUUUAGUUCUUUUAUGGGCAUCCCAUUCUCAUGGUUCCUUCUUCAAAUUGUCCCUCAGUCUGUGAGUAGCUACUACACACUUGCUGUGACAUAAGCUGAUGGGGCUAACAAUAAGCUGGAAUUCUACUGCUUCAAAUGGUCCCAUGUUUGCAGAAGUUGUGCCAAGCAACAUAGGGACACCAUGAUCGCUAUAGAAUAUGAAAAUAUGAUCGUUUGGACCACUAUUCACCACCUUGCCGACACCUAGCAAGAGCAGUCCUGUUCCCAAGGAGAACAGCUAAAAAGUUG
This 786-nucleotide unclassified non-coding RNA is filed under the name Hevea brasiliensis (rubber tree). The record is from RNAcentral. Lineage: Eukaryota; Viridiplantae; Streptophyta; Magnoliopsida; Malpighiales; Euphorbiaceae.